This is a long non-coding RNA of Homo sapiens (human), 5592 nucleotides long. RefSeq lists it as uncharacterized. The transcript has 2 exons. The record is from RefSeq and is a predicted model, not a curated record. NCBI's taxonomy places the organism in Eukaryota, Metazoa, Chordata, Mammalia, Primates, Hominidae.
CAGGCAUGAGCCACUGCAUCUGGCCAUGAAAUUGAAUUUUAGAAUUUCAAGCCUUCAGAGAAGAAUCUAAAGUUCUGAAGAAGGAAAAAUGGAAAUUAUGAUAGAGCCUAGAAGGAAAGAAAUGAAUAUGUUUAAUUUUGUUACAAGGGAAUAAGAAAUGGUGGGGAAGAGAAGACGGAGGAGAUACUUUCAUUCAUAGGCCAUGCCUCUGCAUUCAAACACUGGUCAUUCUGAUGUGGAGUCCAGUGUUAAUCCAAGGAACCAGGACAAUUUGAAAAGGAAAUGUCACAUUACUGAGUUUUCAAAGGAUGUCCAAAUCUUAUUUUUGCAAAAUAUGGCUGUUUGUAUAGUUUAUUUUUGGCAAAGUAUGGUUGUUAGUUUAUGUAGUUUAUACAGUUAAAAGAUUUCUCUAGUCAUUGCAAGUUUUCUUGUCUGUACCUUUAUGAGAUGGGUGAAUUUUCGUCUCAUGGACAUGUGCUGAUGUUGGGAGACAGUUCUCCCUGGGCCUUUUGUUCCUGUAUGUUCUUGCUGGAUAUGCAGAAAUGCAAGGCCCUUCAUGGCUCUUUAUUAAUAAGGGCCAUUUUCCAGGGUUGCAUUUUCAAUGAGCAGCCUGAAGAGAUGAGGGAGAAAGAGCACGUGAGCCACUGGCUGCUAUGGAGCAGCUGGUUUGCAAGCUCGGUGUUUUUUGUGACACGACCCACUGCAGGAUCAAGGACCAAACACUUUCCCUCUGGGAAGUGGGGUCCAGGAAACAGACAUGAAUUCUGAUACUGUGGCUGCUGCUUUUGCAGCAAGUAAGAAAGUCUUUCAUCUCUGGUCUAGGAUUCUUAUGUUUCCUCUAAGCAUCCACAAAAUUGUGACAAACUAAUGUGCUGGCUUUUCAGCAGAGUAAAAUGAAAUCCCAGACCCUUCACGGUCCUUGAUAGCCAGCAUAGAAUAGUUAAGCAGCAAAUAUUUAUGUGACAAUCACUUUCUUAAAAAAAAUAAAACACUUUUUGUACAAAGCAGUGACAGUAGCUGAAAUUGCUAAACAAAAUUCUAUUCUAAAAAUUUGCCAUCUUAACUAGAUAGCUAAAAUUUUCUAAUGUGUGAAAGAAGGGGCUACACACUCACACAGACAAUGAGAAACUUGGUAGUGGGUGGCCACUUUGUUUCUAGGUCAUCCACUAGAGGUACAUCCCCAAAGAGGUGUAUCCUUGGUCAGAAAAGGAUGGACUUACGAUAAGAUACCAAGAUACAUCUACAGAAUAAUCCUGUGAGUAGGAAAUGCAAAGGCACUAUAUUCCUCCAGAGUGGAGGCAGAGGGUGGGUUGGCUUUCGGUUUCUUGCCAUUUUUGUUUUUUGGGUUAAUUUUUCUUUCUUUUUUUUUUAUUAUACUUUAAGUUUUAGGGUACAUGUGUACAACGUGCAGCUUUGUUACAUAUGUAUACAUGUGCCAUGUUGCUGUGCUGCACCCAUUAACUCGUCAUUUACAUUAGGUAUAUCUCCUAAUGCUAUCCCUCCCCGCUCCCCCCCACCCCACAACAGGCCCCGGUGUGUGAUGUUCCCCUUCCUGUGUCCAUGUGUUCUCAUUGUUCAGUUCCCACCUAUGAGUGAGAACAUGUGGUGUUUGGGUUUCUGUCCUUGUGACAGUUUGCUCAGAAUGAUGGUUUUCAGCGUCAUCCAUGUCCCUACAAAGGACAUGACCUCAUCCUUUUUUAUGGCUGCAUAGUAUUCCAUGGUGUAUAUGUGCCACAUUGUCUUAAUCCAGUCUAUCAUUGUUGCACAUUUGGGUUGGUUCCAAGUCUUUGCUAUUGUGAAUAGUGCCACAAUAAACAUACGUGUGCACGUGUCUUUAUAGCAGCAUGAUUUAUAAUCCUUUGGGUAUAUACCCAGUAAUGGGAUGGCUGGGUCAAAUGGUAUUUCUAGUUCUAGAUCCUUGAGGAAUUGCCACACUGUCUUCCACAAUGGUUGAACUAGUUUACAGUCCCACCAACAGUGUAAAAGUGUUCCUAUUUCUCCACAUCCUCUCCAGCACCUGUUGUUUCCUGACUUUUUAAUGAUCGCCAUUCUAACUGGUGUGAGACGGUAUCUCGUUGUGGUUUUGAUUUGCAUUUUUCUGAUGGCCAGUGAUGAUGAGCAUUUUUUCAUGUGUCUUUUGGCUGCAUAAAUGUCUUCUUUUGAGAAGUGUCUGUUCAUAUCCUUUGCCCACUUGUUGAUGGGCUUGUCAUUUUUAUGGAACACAGUGUGGUCAUGUGUCCACAGCCAUACAAGUCAAUGACUGGACUAUUGGAAAUCCUUGCUGUUGGCAUCUCACAAACCUUUUCCUUUCUCUCAGUACUUUUUCUCUAAGUAAUGAUGCAGUUCAGGCCCUCAGCUUGUUGUUUUGUGAUAUGUGCCAGCCACCUGCUUCUCGAACCAUAUCUUUCUCGUUGGAUGAACACAGAGCCAGGAUGCCUGCUACACCCACAUCCCCUGCGGAGGUCUCUUGAUGAUAGCCACUGCUGAGGGAAGCAGCCCUAGGCAGCCCCACAAACACAGUAAUGACGCUGCCUCUCGGGAGCUGAUCAGAGCACGCUGGGAAGCCUGAGGAAGAUAGUCCGUCCGUCAGCCAGCCAGCAAUCAGUGACAUGGUACAGGGGUAGCUCUAUCCAAGCAGGGAUGUCAAUGCAGUGAAAUAGGUUUCUCACGAGAAUUUGCACACGAGGUAAAGGGAGAGUCAACAGCACAGGCUUGUUGUCAGGUUUAAGUGAGAUCAUUCCCAUAAGGCACUCAGCAGAGCGCUUGGCUGAAAUAUGGGGCUUAAUAAAUGUUGGGGAAUUAACACUACUAUUAUUGUGAAUAGCUGAAGCUGAAGGAUACUGAGAGAAGGCAAAGAACAGAGAGGCCGUGGGCAAGCUGGGGCCAUGAAUACCCAACCGUUUGGAAGGGAGGCCAAAAAGAAAUACGAGGUAGGGAUGAGAUGUUGAAGAAGCAACGUAGAGGAGUGGAAUCACACGAACGAGUGUGGCACCCUCUCUGUGUCCUGCAGACUCGCACUGGCAAGAGCGCGAGGUAACAGCCUGUUCUCCAGCUGCCCGGAGGCUGGAUGACCUUCACAGGCCCCAAAUUCUAACCUCUAGAGCCUGCCAUCUCCUUCCUCCCUUAUAUUCCUGUUUGGGUGGUGUUUCCCAGACUCCUGUGGGAUCUGGACGCUUGUUUCCAAUAUUUGAAAAUUAUUUCCACAAAAUGAAAUCCUUUCAUUAGUAUCAUAUCACUUGCCCUGUCCAUACUACUCAUUACUAGGGGUACCUCGAGUAAGCCUCGCGCCUUGUUACCAAAAAGGAUACCUUGACAUACUUGCCCUUUCCAACUCACAUCUUCCCGAGAUGCCCCUUUCUUGCUGGCUAGAUAGAAUUUAUUCACUCUCUCAGCUUCUCUACCAUAUGGUGGUGUGACGGUCAAUUUUAUGUGUCAACUUGACUGAGCUAAGGGACACCCAGAUAGCUGAUAAAACGUUGUUUUUGGAUGAGUCUGUGAGUGUGUCUCCAGAAGAGAUUAACAUUUUCAUCAGUAGACGCAGUGGAAUCUACCCUCACCAAUGAGAGUGGGCAUCAUCUAAUCCCUUAAGGGGCCAAAUAGAACAAAAAGGCAGAGGAAGGGCGAAUUCUCUUCUUCUUGAUCUCGGACAUCCAACUCUUCUGCCCUCAGACAUUGAAGGGUCUGGUGUUUGGGUCUUUAGACUCCAGGACUCCACCCUCGAAUUCUCAAGUCUUUGACCUUGGACUGGGGGAAGUCACGCCAUCGUCACCCCAUUGACCCCCCUGGUUCUCAGAUCUUCACACUCGGGCUGGAUCACACCACUGGCUUUCCUGGUUCUUCAGCUCGCAGAUGGCAGAUGAUGCGACUUCUUAGCCUCUGUGAUUGCGUGAGCCUGUUCCCCUAAUAAAUCUCCUGGUGUAUGUCUCUGUAUCUUAUUGGUUCUGUUUCUCUGGAGAACCCCAAUACAGGGGGAGGAAGAGACACUUGCUCUUUAUAAAUGGGCGGUGUAUCACAAUUCUGUGGUGAUUUUGAGCUAAUUUUCUGCUUUGGAACCACUGAAGAGGCUUAUUGAAGACUGGAAUGGAAUGGAAUUUUGUAAUGGUAGAGCUGUCGCGUAUGCCAAUUACAAGUGUUGCGGGCAGGACAGUUACUUCACAGGCAGAAGUAGUGUCUGUGUGAUUCUCUGAGAAGCCCUGCCUUCCUGCCAGGCAGAAGGUGCUGGAGCUGACUGCACGGGCCAACAGGAGCAACUGUACACCUCUCGCCAACUCCACCCUGAGUAGCAUCACACUGGGAGUUUGAAAUCAGCCAAGGAGGAACUAUUUUCACCCUGCAUGCCCACAAAUCUCAACUCAGAGCUUCGGUUUCUUCCGGAGAGUUAGUCUACCAGCACACUGCUGCUAGGAAGUAUAAGAAGUAGGUUUACUUCACAGUAAACAUCCUUCCAGUCUACCUGGAUUCCACAGGUAGAUUGAAACAAGGGGAUGCUUUUGACAAAAGGCUUUGUGAUGACUGCUUCUGUCACAGGAAUGCUCAGAAGAGAUGUCAAGAGGCUGGCCUCUCCAAAGUCUCACAGCUGGAGUGUGGGUACCAGGUUCUGUCUAGUGGCUUUCAACGUUUGUUUUCUGUCUUACAGCAUCCAUCAGAGGAUGACAUGUCCAUGCGAGAAGCAGUUUCAUGAGUGUUUGUUAAUGUGAUCACUGCAGUUAUAUUCCUUACUCUUCAGACAAGCAAGAAUAAGGGAAUGUGUGUGAAAGAGGUAGUCUGAAAUAUUCUGGUGGUUUUUGUUUUGUUUUGGAGAUAGAGUUAUGCUCUUGUCACCCAGGCUGGAGUGCAGUGGCACGAUCUCUGCUCCCUGCAACCUCUGCCUUCCAAGUUCAAGCAAUUCUCCUGCCUCAGCCUCUCAAGUAGCUGGAACUACAGGCCUGAGCCACCAUUCCCAGCUAAUUUUUUUGUAUUUUUAGUAGAGACAGGGUUUCACCAUGUUGGCCAGGCUGGUCUCAAAGUCCUGACUUCAGUUGAUCCUCCCCACUCACCUUCCCAAAGUGUUGGGAUUACAGGCAUGAGCCACCAUGCCCGGCCUUUUUUUUUUUUUUUUUUUUGAUACGGAGUUUCACUUUUGUUGCCCAGGCUGGAGUGCAAUGGUACGAUUUCAGCUCACUGCAACCUCCGCCUCCUGAGUUCAAGCAAUUCUCCUGCCUCAGCCUCCCGAGUAGUUGUGGUGACAGGUGCAUGCCACCAUGCCCCACUAAUUUUUGUAUUUUUAGUAGAGAUGGCUUCACCAUGUUAGCCAGGCUGGUCUCGAAAUCCCAGCCUCAGGUGAUCCACCCACCUCUGCCUCCCAAAAUUCUGAGAUUACCGGCAUGAGUCACUGCGCCUGGCCAAUAUUCUGUUUUUUAAUGCAAGUCAUUGAUAAAAUUAGUCCUACAUUUUUGUGGUCACAGCUUACGACUGAUACUGAGGUUAAGGACCAUGAGUUUAGAUGAUACAAGAGUGAAGGGAAAUUGUGCUCUGCAGGGACUCAUGUUGCAAUUUUCUGUCUUUGGGAGCCACUCAGCUAAAUAUUAUAAAAAAAAAAACCAAAAAGAGCAA